Non-coding RNA from Myodes glareolus (Bank vole), 957 nucleotides. The record is from RefSeq and is a predicted model, not a curated record. NCBI's taxonomy places the organism in Eukaryota, Metazoa, Chordata, Mammalia, Rodentia, Cricetidae.
UCCCUUCAGCCAAUUCUGAACAAACCCAUUUUUAUCAUUAGGGGACCUCCACAUUCCUGCUACCAUCACCCCACUAUAGCUGAGGUACCUCCUAUCUUAACAUACCUGUUUCUAUCCAGAUGGAAGUCACCAGAACAUUUCCUGCACAGAAAUGGCUUCUGUGGCACAAGGCACACACAUCUGGAUUGUCUCGUACCCUGGAAACCCCUUGGGUUUCACAAGUGAUCUGAAUUUAAAGUUGCUGGCAUUGGGUAGGCGGCUGUGUGGGAGACUGUCAAUCACAAGCCUGGAAAAUCUCUCUUAAUUAUCUGCUUGUAAGGUUGGAAUUUCCUCACCAAGUCUAUCUUCAUUUACUGAAGAGUCUCCAGAGUCCCACUUCAAGAGGAAUUUUUUUUAAGAAGUGAAAACUGGCCCCACGCCCUCAUGUGGAAGAAGGUCAAUGGGGUUGUGGACAUGAGCCCACGUCAUGGGACAAAGUCUGCUCUUCAGUGAGAGUGACGACAGGAAUCCAAGGAGAGGCAGCAGAGAAACCUGCCACCUCUGCUGAGGCCGAGGACAUUGGAACAGCGGCCACCCGUCAGCCCAGGUGAUGGCACAUGGACCUGGGUCCUGAAAUUAGAGACAGUACUAAUCCAUGGACCAGAUUUGGUACUUGAUAGCUCUCUAGCUGAGACUGAGGAUGGCUGCCUACUAUGGACAGACUUCUUCUGACCUGGAGGAAUGCGCCGGAGCUUAGGCCCUUGGUCAGAUCCUAGAACCUCCACAGUGGGCAGGGAUGGACACCUGCCCUGCUGUUGUAGCAGUAUGAAUAUGGUUUGUUUGUUAGAUGAUUAUAAAUCAGGCUCUUUCAUUCUUCCUCUAGUAUCAAAGCAUCUUAGCAAUUCAGAAGUUUUGUGUGGACCAGGCUCCCACUGUAAACCUUUCCCUCCCCUCUGCUACAAAUUAAGAAACCUGCCA